CCUACGGGUGGCAGCAGUGAGGAAUAUUGGUCAAUGGACGUGAGUCUGAACCAGCCAAGUAGCGUGAGGGAUGAAUGCCCUAUGGGUUGUAAACUUCUUUUAUGUGGGAAUAAAGUUGUCCACGUGUGGAAUUUUGCAUGUACCAUAUGAAUAAGGACCGGCUAAUUCCGUGCCAGCAGCCGCGGUAAUACGGAAGGUCCGGGCGUUAUCCGGAUUUAUUGGGUUUAAAGGGAGCGUAGGCGGUUGGUUAAGUGAGCUGUGAAAGUUUGUGGCUCAACCGUGAAAUUGCAUCGGAAACUGGCAACCUUGAGUGCGCGGAAGGCAGGCGGAAUUCGUGGUGUAGCGGUGAAAUGCUUAGAUAUCACGAAGAACCCCGAUUGCGAAGGCAG
This 389-nucleotide ribosomal RNA is filed under the name uncultured bacterium. RNAcentral's name for it is "partial 16S ribosomal RNA". It matches the Rfam family "Bacterial small subunit ribosomal RNA", at positions 338 to 724 of the family's 1533-position model. The record is from RNAcentral.